AUUGAACGCUGGCGGCAUGCUUUACACAUGCAAGUCGAACGGCAGCGCGGGCUUCGGCCUGGCGGCGAGUGGCGAACGGGUGAGUAAUACAUCGGAACGUGCCCAGUAGUGGGGGAUAGCUCGGCGAAAGCCGGAUUAAUACCGCAUACGACCUGAGGGUGAAAGCGGGGGAUCUUCGGACCUCGCGCUAUUGGAGCGGCCGAUGGCAGAUUAGCUAGUUGGUGGGGUAAAGGCCUACCAAGGCGACGAUCUGUAGCUGGUCUGAGAGGACGACCAGCCACACUGGGACUGAGACACGGCCCAGACUCCUACGGGAGGCAGCAGUGGGGAAUUUUGGACAAUGGGCGAAAGCCUGAUCCAGCAAUGCCGCGUGUGUGAUGAAGGCCUUCGGGUUGUAAAGCACUUUUGGCGGGAACGAAAAGGACUGUGCCAAUACCACGGUUCGAUGACGGUACCCGCAGAAUAAGCACCGGCUAACUACGG
This 483-nucleotide ribosomal RNA is filed under the name uncultured bacterium. RNAcentral's name for it is "partial 16S ribosomal RNA". It matches the Rfam family "Bacterial small subunit ribosomal RNA", at positions 29 to 506 of the family's 1533-position model. The record is from RNAcentral.